This 249-nucleotide ribosomal RNA is filed under the name uncultured bacterium. Its description in RNAcentral is "partial 16S ribosomal RNA". It matches the Rfam family "Bacterial small subunit ribosomal RNA", at positions 526 to 779 of the family's 1533-position model. The record is from RNAcentral.
CGUAGGUGCGAGCGUUGUCCGGAAUUACUGGGCGUAAAGAGCUCGUAGGUGGUUGUCGCGUCGUGUGUGAAAUUCCGGGCCUAACUUCGGGUUGCAUACGAUACGGGCAUAACUUGAGUGCUGUAGGGAGACUGGAAUUCCUGGUGUAGCGGUGAAAUGCGCAGAUAUCAGGAGGAACACCGAUGGCGAAGGCAGGUCUCUGGGCAGUAACUGACGCUGAGGAGCGAAAGCAUGGGAGCGAACAGGAUU